GAUGAACGCUGGCGGCGUGCUUAACACAUGCAAGUCGAACGGAAAGGCCCAAGCUUGCUUGGGUACUCGAGUGGCGAACGGGUGAGUAACACGUGGGUGAUCUGCCCCGCACUUCGGGAUAAGCCUGGGAAACUGGGUCUAAUACCGGAUAGGACCACUUCUUGGAGGUUGUGGUGGAAAGUUUUUUCGGUGUGGGAUGAGCUCGCGGCCUAUCAGCUUGUUGGUGGGGUAAUGGCCUACCAAGGCGUCGACGGGUAGCCGGCCUGAGAGGGUGUACGGCCACAUUGGGACUGAGAUACGGCCCAGACUCCUACGGGAGGCAGCAGUGGGGAAUAUUGCACAUUGGGCGCAAGCCUGAUGCAGCGACGCCGCGUGGGGGAUGACGGCCUUCGGGUUGUAAACUCCUUUCGCUAGGGACGAAGCGCAAGUGACGGUACCUAGAGAAGAAGCACCGGCUAACUACGUG
This 466-nucleotide ribosomal RNA is filed under the name uncultured bacterium. RNAcentral's name for it is "partial 16S ribosomal RNA". It matches the Rfam family "Bacterial small subunit ribosomal RNA", at positions 28 to 507 of the family's 1533-position model. The record is from RNAcentral.